This 498-nucleotide ribosomal RNA is filed under the name uncultured bacterium. Its description in RNAcentral is "partial 16S ribosomal RNA". It matches the Rfam family "Bacterial small subunit ribosomal RNA", at positions 28 to 507 of the family's 1533-position model. The record is from RNAcentral.
GACGAACGCUGGCGGCGUGCCUAAUACAUGCAAGUCGAACGAGAGCGACCGGUGCUUGCCCUGGUCAAUCUAGUGGCGAACGGGUGAGUAACACGUGGGUAACCUGCCCAUCAGAGGGGGAUAACAUCCGGAAACGGAUGCUAAAACCGCAUAGGUCUUCGAGCCGCAUGGCUUGAAGAGGAAAAGAGGCGCAAGCUUCUGCUGAUGGAUGGACCCGCGGUGCAUUAGCUAGUUGGUGAGGUAACGGCUCACCAAGGCCGUGAUGCAUAGCCGACCUGAGAGGGUGAUCGGCCACAUUGGGACUGAGACACGGCCCAAACUCCUACGGGAGGCAGCAGUAGGGAAUCUUCCGCAAUGGACGCAAGUCUGACGGAGCAACGCCGCGUGAGUGAAGAAGGUGUUCGGAUCGUAAAACUCUGUUGUUAGAGAAGAACAAGUGCUAGAGUAACUGUUAGCGCCUUGACGGUAUCUAACCAGAAAGCCACGGCUAACUACGUG